RNAcentral lists this ribosomal RNA (497 nucleotides) under uncultured bacterium. Its description in RNAcentral is "partial 16S ribosomal RNA". It matches the Rfam family "Bacterial small subunit ribosomal RNA", at positions 28 to 507 of the family's 1533-position model. The record is from RNAcentral.
GAUGAACGCUGGCGGCGUGCCUAAUACAUGCAAGUCGAGCGAACAGACGAGGAGCUUGCUCCUCUGACGUUAGCGGCGGACGGGUGAGUAACACGUGGAUAACCUACCUAUAAGACUGGGAUAACUUCGGGAAACCGGAGCUAAUACCGGAUAAUCUAUUGAACCGCAUGGUUCAAUAGUUAAAGACGGUUUUGCUGUCACUUCUAGAUGGAUCCGCGCCGCAUUAGCUAGUUGGUAAGGUAACGGCUUACCAAGGCAACGAUGCGUAGCCGACCUGAGAGGGUGAUCGGCCACACUGGAACUGAGACACGGUCCAGACUCCUACGGGAGGCAGCAGUAGGGAAUCUUCCGCAAUGGGCGAAAGCCUGACGGAGCAACGCCGCGUGAGUGAUGAAGGUCUUCGGAUCGUAAAACUCUGUUAUUAGGGAAGAACAAAUGUGUAAGUAACUAUGCACGUCUUGACGGUACCUAAUCAGAAAGCCACGGCUAACUACGUG